Long non-coding RNA from Sander lucioperca (pikeperch), 120 nucleotides. RefSeq lists it as uncharacterized. The record is from RefSeq and is a predicted model, not a curated record. The transcript has 2 exons. NCBI's taxonomy places the organism in Eukaryota, Metazoa, Chordata, Actinopteri, Perciformes, Percidae.
AACAGAUAGGAGAACCAGUCUAUCUUGAUCACUGGAGAAUCUGGUGCUGGAAAGACUGUUAACACCAAGCGUGUCAUCCAGUACUUUGCAACAAUCGCAGUUGGUGGACCGAAGAAGGAG